RNAcentral lists this ribosomal RNA (253 nucleotides) under uncultured bacterium. RNAcentral describes it as "partial 16S ribosomal RNA". It matches the Rfam family "Bacterial small subunit ribosomal RNA", at positions 524 to 776 of the family's 1533-position model. The record is from RNAcentral.
UACGGAAGGUGCGAGCGUUAAUCGGAAUUACUGGGCGUAAAGGGCUCGUAGGCGGCCAACUAAGUCAGACGUGAAAUUCCUCGGCUUAACCGGGGAACUGCGUCUGAUACUGGAUGGCUAGAGGUUGGGAGAGGGAUGCGGAAUUCCAGGUGUAGCGGUGAAAUGCGUAGAUAUCUGGAGGAACACCGGUGGCGAAGGCGGCAUCCUGGACCAAUUCUGACGCUGAGGAGCGAAAGCCAGGGGAGCAAACGGG